AUGCAAGUCGAACGAUAGAUAGAAGCUUGCUUUUAUCGAAAGUGGCGCACGGGUGCGUAACGCGUAUGCAACCUACCUUAAUCAGGGGGAUAGCCCGAAGAAAUUCGGAUUAACACCGCAUAACAUUAUUGAAUGGCAUCAUUUAAUAAUCAAAUAUUUAUAGGAUUAAGAUGGGCAUGCGUGACAUUAGUUAGUUGGUAAGGUAACGGCUUACCAAGACUACGAUGUCUAGGGGAUCUGAGAGGAUGACCCCCCACACUGGUACUGAGACACGGACCAGACUCCUACGGGAGGCAGCAGUAAGGAAUAUUGGUCAAUGGGCGGAAGCCUGAACCAGCCAUGCCGCGUGCAGGAAGACGGCCCUACGGGUUGUAAACUGCUUUUAUUCGGGAAUAAACCUUUCUACGUGUAGAGAGCUGAAUGUAUCGAAGGAAUAAGGAUCGGCUAACUCCGUGCCAGCAGCCGCGGUAAUACGGAGGAUCCAAGCGUUAUCCGGAUUUAUUGGGUUUAAAGGGUGCGUAGGCGGCCUAUUAAGUCAGGGGUGAAAGACGGUAGCUCAACUAUCGCAGUGCCUUUGAUACUGAUAGGCUUGAAUACACUAGAGGUAGGCGGAAUGUGACAAGUAGCGGUGAAAUGCAUAGAUAUGUCACAGAACACCAAUUGCGAAGGCAGCUUACUAUGGUGUCAUUGACGCUGAGGCACGAAAGCGUGGGGAUCAAACAGGAUUAGAUACCCUGGUAGUCCACGCCCUAAACGAUGAAUACUCGAUGUUAGCGAUAUACAGUUAGCGUCUAAGCGAAAGCGUUAAGUAUUCCACCUGGGGAGUACGCCCGCAAGGGUGAAACUCAAAGGAAUUGACGGGGGCCCGCACAAGCGGAGGAGCAUGUGGUUUAAUUCGAUGAUACGCGAGGAACCUUACCCGGGCUUGAAAGUUAGUGAAUCAUUUAGAGAUAGAUGAGUCCGCAAGGACACGAAACUAGGUGCUGCAUGGCUGUCGUCAG
This 1001-nucleotide ribosomal RNA is filed under the name uncultured bacterium. RNAcentral's name for it is "bacterial SSU rRNA". It matches the Rfam family "Bacterial small subunit ribosomal RNA", at positions 55 to 1058 of the family's 1533-position model. The record is from RNAcentral.